RNAcentral lists this ribosomal RNA (497 nucleotides) under uncultured bacterium. Its description in RNAcentral is "partial 16S ribosomal RNA". It matches the Rfam family "Bacterial small subunit ribosomal RNA", at positions 28 to 507 of the family's 1533-position model. The record is from RNAcentral.
GAUGAACGCUGGCGGCGUGCCUAAUACAUGCGAGUCGAGCGAACAGACGAGGAGCUUGCUCCUCUGAUGUUAGCGGCGGACGGGUGAGUAACACGUGGAUAACCUACCUAUAAGACUGGGAUAACUUCGGGAAACCGGAGCUAAUACCGGAUAACAUGUUGAACCGCAUGGUUCAACAGUGAAAGACGGUCUUGCUGUCACUUAUAGAUGGAUCCGCGCCGCAUUAGCUAGUUGGUAAGGUAACGGCUUACCAAGGCAACGAUGCGUAGCCGACCUGAGAGGGUGAUCGGCCACACUGGAACUGAGACACGGUCCAGACUCCUACGGGAGGCAGCAGUAGGGAAUCUUCCGCAAUGGGCGAAAGCCUGACGGAGCAACGCCGCGUGAGUGAAGAAGGUCUUCGGAUCGUAAAACUCUGUUAUUAGGGAAGAACAAAUGUGUAAGUAACUAUGCACGUCUUGACGGUACCUAAUCAGAAAGCCACGGCUAACUACGUG